RNAcentral lists this ribosomal RNA (500 nucleotides) under uncultured bacterium. RNAcentral describes it as "bacterial SSU rRNA". It matches the Rfam family "Bacterial small subunit ribosomal RNA", at positions 1 to 451 of the family's 1533-position model. The record is from RNAcentral.
AAGGAAUCGAUUAGAGUUUGUUCAUGGCUCAGACGAACGCUGGCGGCUUGCCAUAAGACAUGCAAGUCGAGCGGGAGACCAGCGGGUAGCAAUAUCUGCUGGUUCUAGCGGCGCACGGGUGAGUAACACGUGGGUAAUCUACCCUGAAGACGGGGAUAACCCCGCGAAAGCGGGGCUAAUUCCGGAUGUGGUUGCUGGUGGGCAUCCGCUGGAAAUCAAAAACUGGGGCUCCGGGAAAAAGCCGGACCUGGAGCUUCAUGAUGAGCCCGCAGCCUAUCAACUAUUUNGUGAUGUAAUGGCUCACCACUGCUAAUACGGGUAGUAUGGCUCUGAAAAGAUAGCCAGCCCCACUGGGACUGANUACACGGGGCAGCACACCUACAGUAAGCCAUCAAACUUGAAUCUUUGUCAAUGAAACGAAAACCUGAUGAUAGAAACGACAACGACGGUACUUAAAUAUGGUCUUCUGUCAUGUUAAAACUUCCGGUAUUUCGCUAAAA